CAGUCGCCGCGGGAAUACAGAGGGUGCAAGCGUUAAUCGGAAUUACUGGGCGUAAAGCGCGCGUAGGUGGUUUGUUAAGUUGGAUGUGAAAUCCCCGGGCUCAACCUGGGAACUGCAUCCAAAACUGGCAAGCUAGAGUAUGGUAGAGGGUGGUGGAAUUUCCUGUGUAGCGGUGAAAUGCGUAGAUAUAGGAAGGAACACCAGUGGCGAAGGCGACCACCUGGACUGAUACUGACACUGAGGUGCGAAAGCGUGGGGAGCAAACAGGAUUAGAUACCCCAGUAGUCCCUGUCUCUUAUAC
RNAcentral lists this ribosomal RNA (301 nucleotides) under uncultured bacterium. RNAcentral describes it as "partial 16S ribosomal RNA". It matches the Rfam family "Bacterial small subunit ribosomal RNA", at positions 509 to 807 of the family's 1533-position model. The record is from RNAcentral.